RNAcentral lists this ribosomal RNA (681 nucleotides) under Triticum aestivum (bread wheat). RNAcentral describes it as "partial small subunit ribosomal RNA". Lineage: Eukaryota; Viridiplantae; Streptophyta; Magnoliopsida; Poales; Poaceae. The record is from RNAcentral.
CGCGGGGGAAAGGAACCGGUGGAAGAUCUCCCGAGCCGCUUGGAACUCCAUGAGGAUGAGGAGGAACAUUUUGUUUGGGAAGAAGAAUUCAAGGAUGAGAAGAUUGAAGCCAAGUGGCUGGCGAUAGCGAAAGUGCACACCAACAAGGGGUUCAGCCCCUUAGCUCUGUAUGGUGAUAUGAGAUCAGCAUGGAACCCAGCCAGAGAGGUCCGUUGGCGCAGAAUAGAUGAGAAUCUGUUUACGGUACAGUUUGGUUGCUUGGGUGAUUGGAACACUGCCAUUAACAAGGGGCCUUGGCUGUUUAGGAAUCAAGGAGUCUUGAUAGAGGAAUAUGAUGGAUUCAAGAAACCUGAAUCGAUGGUUUUGGAUAAAUUGGUGGUAUGGGCUAGGAUUUUGAAACUCCCAGAUAAUUAUCUGUUUCCAGCAGCGAUCAAGGGCAUGUGCCGUAAGAUGGGUAGGGUUUUGGAGGUCCAAACAACCCUACCGGCUGGUUUUGUUGGUGAAUUUGUAAGGGUCAGAGUGGAGCUUACUAUCACGAAGAAGCUUAUCAGAUUUGUUUCAAUUACCAAGAAUAAAGAAACAGACUACCAAGUCCAGUAUGAAAAGCUACCGGACUUUUGUGGCAAUGUGGUCUUUUGGGGCACUGGUACGAUGAGUGUGGCACGGGAGAGCAUGAUGUAA